UAGACCCGAAACCACAGUGAUCUACCCAUGUCCAGGUUGAAACACAGGUAAAAAUGUGUGGAGGACCGAACCUAUAUCCGUUGAAAAGGGUUAGGAUGAGGUGUGGGUAGGGGUGAAAUUCCAAUCGAACGUGGAGAUAGCUGGUUCUCCCCGAAAUAGCUUUAGGGCUAGCCUCAGGGAAAAGAUUGCAGGCGGUAGAGCACUGAUCAGGAGAGGGACCUACCCGGUUACCAAACCCAGUCAAACUCCGAAUGGCUGCAAUCAUACCUGGGAGUCAGACUGCGACUAAUAAGGGCCGUAGUCAAAAGGGAAACAGCCCAGACCAUCAGCUAAGGUCCCCAAUGCCGUGCUAAGUGGAGAAGGAUGUGGCAUUUCAUAAACAACCAGGAUGUUGGCUCAGAAGCAGCCACCAUUUAAAGAGUGCGUAAUAGCUCACUGGUCGAGAGACGCUGCGCCGAAAAUGUCCGGGGCUCAAGCACGGAACCGAAGCUAUGGCAGACGCAAGUCUGGGUAGGGGAGCGUUCUUAUGAGGAAGAAGCAUGACCGUAAGGACAUGUGGACACAUAAGAAGUGAGAAUGCCGGUAUGAGUAUCGAAAAGAAAGGUGAGAAUCCUUUCCACCGAAAGCCCGAGGGUUCCUGAGCAACGAUCGUCGACUCAGGGUAAGUCGGGACCUAAGCCGAGGCGAAAAGCAUAGGCGAUGGACAACAGGUUGAAAUUCCUGUACCGGAUAAAGUCGAUAUGAGCAAUGGAGUGACGCAGGAGGGUACAUGAUCGCGCGAGUGGAAGAGCGCGUCCAAGUGAGUAUGUAGAUACAGAGGCAAAUCCCUGUAUCUGAAAGCAGAGACAUGAUGGGGAGUUAAAGGAAACUUUGACGAACUGAUGGAUCCCACACUGCCAAGAAAAACUUCUAGCCAGACAAUAUCCGCCCGUACCGUAAACCGACACAGGUAGGCGGGGAGAGAAUCCUAAGGUGCGCGGGAAAACCCUCGUUAAGGAACUCGGCAAAUUGCAUCCGUAACUUCGGGAGAAGGAUGACCCUGAGUAAAAGAAGAGCAGAAACGCUUAGAGGAGAAAAGGGUGGCAGAAAAGAGGCCCAAGCAACUGUUUACCAAAAACACAGGUGCCUGCGAAAGCGAAAGCUGAAGUAUAGGUGCUGACGCCUGCCCGGUGCCGGAAGGUUAAGGAGAGAGGUCAGCUAAGGCGAAGCUUCGAACUGAAGCCCCGGUGAACGGCGGCCGUAACUAUAACGGUCCUAAGGUAGCGAAAUUCCUUGUCGGGU
Molecule: ribosomal RNA, 1281 nt
Filed under: metagenome
Description: bacterial LSU rRNA
Rfam family: Bacterial large subunit ribosomal RNA
Source: RNAcentral